ACUCAAAUGAAUUGACGGGGGCCCGCACAAGCGGUGGAACAUGUGGUUUAAUUCGAUGCAACGCGAAGAACCUUACCUGGGCUUGACAUCUAGGGAACCUUGCGGAAACGCAGGGGUGCCUUCGGGAACCCUAAGACAGGUGGUGCACGGUUGUCGUCAGCUCGUGUCGUGAGAUGUUGGGUUAAGUCCCGCAACGAGCGCAACCCUCGUUGUCUGUUGCUACAGGGAGCAAUCUGCUGAGCACUCAGGCGAGACUGCCGGUGAUAAACCGGAGGAAGGUGGGGACGACGUCAAAUCAUCAUGCCCCUUAUGUCCAGGGCUACACACGUGUUACAAUGGGCCGGACAGCGGGUUGCAAGCUGGCAACAGCAAGCUAAUCCCUAAAACCUGCCCUCAGUUCGGAUUGGAGUCUGCAACUCGACUCCAUGAAGUCGGAAUCGCUAGUAACCGCGGAUCAGCUACGCCGCGGUGAAUACGUUCCCGGGCCUUGUACACACCGCCCGU
RNAcentral lists this ribosomal RNA (504 nucleotides) under uncultured bacterium. Its description in RNAcentral is "partial 16S ribosomal RNA". It matches the Rfam family "Bacterial small subunit ribosomal RNA", at positions 899 to 1397 of the family's 1533-position model. The record is from RNAcentral.